GAAGGAGAAAGGUGUUCUGCACGCCUGUUCUGUAAAUACAGUAAAGACUUCACAAAAGAAAUCUGAAAAGUGUCUGGUUGUGUAAGGUCCUCCUACACUGCAAGUGGUGCUGUAUCUAUUUUUCCUUUCUGUCUGUACGUAGCUUUUUGUUUUUAUCUCCAUUUUAGGGAGCAUUGACGCAUUAAGACAUGACUGGGACUGUAGCAGUCUGAAUCUGUGGUACGGUCACUUCGAGAUGGGUUAUGCCUAAUGUUAAUUCCAGGCAGCUUCUCAAGACAAUUCACCUAGGAGGGCACACGGAGGGCCUGAAGUAAGAUGGAGAACGAGACGAGCACUACCACCUCUGCCCCUGCUACCACUACUGCCAGUUCGCCGUCGUCCCGCACCCAGGCCCCCCCGCCACCUCUGUACAGCGCCCCCACCGACAGACAGGCUGUGCAGGUGAUCCAGCAGGCCAUCCACCGGCCACAGAGCAUGGCUGCGCAGUACCUGCAGCAGAUGUACGCAGCUCAACAGCAGCACCUCAUGCUUCAGACAGCUGCCCUGCAACAGCAGCACCUGAGCAGCACCCAGCUCCAGAGUCUGGCCACAGUCCAGCAGGCGACGCUGACAGGAGGCAGGCAGUCCUCAUCCCCCAACGGCAGUGUGUCACAGCAGUCGAAUGUCUCACAGACCUCGGUAGGUACAGUAGCUGCACCGUCACUGAUGGUCUUUCUGCUCACAUGACAGAGACGCUCUGGGGCUUUCACACUAGCAACUGACAGCACGAGCCCUCUGCCCCGCUUACUGCUAGCCUGUGGGCCUCACAAUUAGCUCUCUUCUUUUCAAACAAAAUGGAUGAUUUGAAGGUGAGUUACCAUAAAUUGCAUUUUAAUAUCAUUUUUCAGGUUUUAUUGAUGACCUGACCCUGCCU
This 913-nucleotide long non-coding RNA is filed under the name Lepisosteus oculatus (spotted gar). RNAcentral's name for it is "lncRNA (ENSLOCG00000022484.1)". Lineage: Eukaryota; Metazoa; Chordata; Actinopteri; Semionotiformes; Lepisosteidae. The record is from RNAcentral.